This 484-nucleotide ribosomal RNA is filed under the name uncultured bacterium. RNAcentral describes it as "partial 16S ribosomal RNA". It matches the Rfam family "Bacterial small subunit ribosomal RNA", at positions 29 to 507 of the family's 1533-position model. The record is from RNAcentral.
AUUGAACGCUAGCGGGAUGCUUUACACAUGCAAGUCGAACGGCAGCGCGGACUUCGGUCUGGCGGCGAGUGGCGAACGGGUGAGUAAUGUAUCGGAACGUGCCCAGUAGCGGGGGAUAACUACGCGAAAGCGUAGCUAAUACCGCAUACGCCCUACGGGGGCAAGCAGGGGAUCGUAAGACCUUGCCCUAUUGGAGCGGCCGAUAUCGGAUUAGCUAGUUGGUGAGGUAACGGCUCACCAAGGCGACCAUCCGUAGCUGGUUUGAGAGGACGACCAGCCACACUGGGACUGAGACACGGCCCAGACUACUACGGGAGGCAGCAGUGGGGAAUGGUGGACAAUGGGGGCGACCCUGAUCCAGCCAUCCCGCGUGUGCGAUGAAGGCCUUCGGGUUGUAAAGCACUUUUGGCAGGAAAGAAACGUCGCGGGCUAAUACCCCGUGGAACUGACGGUACCUGCAGAAUAAGCACCGGCUAACUACGUG